Long non-coding RNA from Acyrthosiphon pisum (pea aphid), 645 nucleotides. RefSeq lists it as uncharacterized. The transcript is spliced from 3 exons. The record is from RefSeq and is a predicted model, not a curated record. Lineage: Eukaryota; Metazoa; Arthropoda; Insecta; Hemiptera; Aphididae.
UGGUACACGGAUAACAAUAUUUUAGUCCGGUUCGUUCGGGCCACACUGUUUUUCAUCAUUUGGAAUGUACUCGGUCACGUCCCGUCAAGGGUUUUAGUAUUAGUCAAUUACUCUAUCGUGACGAACUAGAUCUAUUUUGUUAUGCUUAGUUCUCAGUAGUCAGUAAUCAGGCAUUUUAUGUAAAAUAAAAAUUAUUCAUUUUUAAGUUUUGUAUACCAAUCAUCUUGGAGUUGAACAAUAAAUAAUUAUUAUACUGUUUAGUUUUUUAAUAUAUUUUCGUAGUAAGUACCUAUAUUUGGUUACGUAACCUAACCCAACCCAACCCAACCUAACCUAACGUAGAACGCAUUAUUUUUGGUGCUCGACGUCUCGAAGGUAGCUUAUUCAGUUUUCCGCUCUCUGGCUCUCAAGUACUCCGAAGCGAAGCUACGCUAUUCUGCUUCCGUCGCUCGUGUGUAUAAAUUAGGAAUACCAUAGACAUUUUAUCAUAAUAAAACUUUAACCUUAAUAUCCGGAAGCCAAGCUAUUUACCAUGAUGCCUGUUGGUAAAUUUCGUGAAGAAUUGAAGAAUAUCCUUAUAGAACCAAAUACUACAACAAUUACUUCUAUUAAAAAAAUUGUACAAGAAAACAAUUAUUUCAAUCU